AUGAGCCAGGCGCAGCCCUACGCCCCGCGGAAGAGCAGCUCCCCGGCGGCCGGCGCCCGGCGGAACGACAGCCAGGACUACCUGCUGCUGGACGCGGAGCCCUGCGAGGAGAGCGCCCUGCCGCCCUACGCCUUCUACCCCGUCCGAGGCAACGAGAACAGACUAGCGCUGCGGCGACAGACCAUCCUCCGGGAGAAGGGCAGGAGACAGGCCAGUCGAGGGCCAGCCUAUAUGUUUAAUGACCACUCAACAAGUCUUUCUCUUGAGGAGGAGCGCUUUUUGGAUGCAGCAGAAUAUGGAAAUAUUCCAGUGAUUCGCAAAAUGCUGGAAGAAUGUCCCUCCCUCAAUGUGAACUGUGUGGACUAUAUGGGGCAGAACGCUUUGCAGCUGGCGGUUGCCAACGAGCACCUGGAGAUCACAGAACUUCUGCUGAAGAAGGAGAACCUGUCUCGGGUUGGGGAUGCCUUGCUUUUGGCUAUUAGCAAAGGUUACGUUCGGAUAGUGGAAGCCAUCCUAAGCCAUCCUGCGUUUGCUGAAGGCAAGAGGCUUGCAUUGAGUCCCAGCCAGUCGGAGCUCCAGCACGAUGACUUCUAUGCAUACGAUGAAGAUGGCACACGGUUUUCCCACGACGUUACACCGAUCAUUUUGGCCGCUCAUUGCCAUGAGUAUGAGAUUGUCCACACUCUGCUGAGAAAAGGAGCUCGGAUCGAUAGACCACAUGACUAUUUCUGCAAGUGCAGUGAAUGCAAUCAGAAACAAAAGCAUGACUCUUUCAGCCAUUCUAGGUCUAGAAUCAAUGCCUACAAAGGUCUGGCCAGCCCUGCUUAUCUGUCUUUGUCCAGUGAAGACCCUGUAAUGACUGCCUUAGAGCUCAGCAAUGAGUUGGCCGUGCUUGCCAACAUUGAAAAAGAGUUUAAGAAUGAUUACAAGAAGUUGUCUAUGCAAUGCAAGGAUUUUGUAGUGGGACUCCUGGAUUUGUGCAGAAACACAGAAGAAGUGGAAGCUAUUUUGAAUGGUGAUGUAGAGAUGAGCCAUAAUAAUGGAGAACGUGGCCGCCCCAGCCUUAGCCGCUUAAAACUCGCCAUUAAGUAUGAAGUUAAAAAAUUUGUAGCACAUCCAAACUGCCAGCAACAACUUCUCUCAAUCUGGUAUGAGAAUUUGUCAGGUUUAAGGCAGCAGACCAUGGCAGUGAAGUUUCUGGUUGUUCUUGCUGUUGCGGUGGGACUGCCGUUCCUUUCAAUGGCUUACUGGAUUGCUCCCUGCAGCAAGCUGGGGAGGAUAAUGCGUGGACCAUUUAUGAAGUUUGUAGCCCAUGCAGCCUCUUUCACCAUUUUUCUUGGUCUACUUGUCAUGAAUGCAGCUGACAGAUUUGAUGGCACCAAACUCCGACCUAAUGAAACAACAGGCAAUGUAAAGCAGCUAUUUAGGAUGAAAACAUCCUGCUUCUCAUGGAUGGAGAUGCUCAUUAUUUCUUGGGUAAUAGGCAUGAUAUGGUCGGAAUGUAAAGAAAUUUGGUCUCAAGGUCCAAAGGAAUACCUUUUUGAGUUAUGGAAUAUGCUUGAUUUUGGUAUGCUAGCAAUUUUUGCGGCAUCAUUCAUAGCAAGGUUUAUGGCAUUUUGGCAUGCAUCCAGAGCCCAGAACUUCGUUGAUGCAAAUAUGAAAGAUCUGACAAGUCCAACACUGGAGCCUAACAUAAAAUACUACACCUUGGCCAGAAUAAACUGGGAUCCAUCUGAUCCUCAGAUCAUAUCUGAAGGCCUGUAUGCAAUUGCGGUAGUAUUAAGUUUCUCCAGGAUAGCCUACAUCUUACCAGCUAAUGAAAGCUUUGGACCACUGCAGAUAUCACUUGGCAGGACUGUGAAAGACAUCUUCAAGUUCAUGGUGAUAUUUAUCAUGGUGUUUGUGGCUUUCAUGAUAGGCAUGUUUAAUCUCUAUUCCUACUACCUGGGGGCAAAACAAAACGAAGCAUUCACAACUGUUGAAGAAAGUUUCAAGACAUUGUUCUGGGCUAUAUUUGGACUCUCAGAAGUCAAAUCAGUUGUCAUCAAUUAUAAACAUAAAUUUAUUGAAAAUAUUGGUUAUGUCCUUUAUGGAGUCUAUAAUGUUACCAUGGUCAUUGUCUUACUGAACAUGCUUAUCGCAAUGAUCAACAGUUCAUUCCAGGAAAUUGAGGAUGAUGCUGAUGUAGAAUGGAAAUUUGCAAGGGCUAAACUUUGGUUUUCUUACUUUGAAGAAGGGAGGACUCUUCCAGUACCCUUCAACUUAGUGCCAAGCCCAAAAUCUUUGCUGUAUCUCCUACUCAGAAUCAAAAAAUGUAUUUCUAAACCAUUUCUGUGCCAAAAGAAAAGCUUUCAGGAAGAUGCAGAGAUGAACAAGCUUGGUCAAAGGAAGCAAUCAAGUAUAAGAAGCUCAGAUGAAAUCCAUUUAAACAGUUUAAACAAUCCUCCAAGGCAAUACCAGAAGAUAAUGAAGCGUCUCAUUAAAAGAUAUGUACUGAAAGCUCAGAUAGAUAAGGAAAGUGAUGAAGUCAAUGAAGGUGAACUGAAGGAAAUUAAACAGGAUAUCUCAAGUCUCCGGUAUGAACUCCUUGAGGAAAAAUCUCAGAAUUCUGAAGAUCUGGCAGAACUUAUACGGAAACUUGGGGAAAAACUGUCGAUUGACUCUAAGGAAGAAGAAAGCAAGAGAUAACCUAAACACUGAAGGAAUGAAACAGAACAUUAACAGUUCACUUAAAGCCAUAUUUCUGUUUUUCUCAAGUCUAGCUCACAUUUCUACAACAGAUUCAGAAAUUAAAUCAUUCCAAAUCUUUAUUGAAAAACCACAGUGGCAAAUCCUCUGUGUCCAUGGUAAAGAGGAAAUACCACUUGAGUAAAGGUAUUUAUUUAUUCUAUACCUGCUGAAGAAGAGUUAAUUUUAGAUUAUUUUAAUAUUCAAUUUACCUCUUCUAGAAUUCCAGUGGAAUCUUGAUAAGCCCAGUCAUGAAAGAUUAAAAGCAUAAAUCUAAACUUUUCCUACAUUAACUGGUUAUUUUUGCAAAUUCCCUUUUGUAGGCAUUCUUAACAUAUUUUAGGGAAGAAAAGGAGGAAAAUUCCAGGCUUUUACAUAUUUAUAUCAAAAGGUAUUUAAUUUUUCAAGCAUAGUUUUCCCAACUAGCAAAAAAAAACCAAAAAGAAAAGCCUUUCUUAAAAAUGCGUGGAAGAGGUAGAUAGCAGAAUAGUCAGAGCUCUCCCCUACUUAUCCCUGUCACCACUGAACUAUCCUGAAAGACAGGAGUUAGUGCAUUAAGAAAGAAGUAUUUUUCACCAAGUUUAUUGAAGAGCUAUUGCUGAGGCCUGAAAAAAACGUCUUUAAUGUAAAAUAAUUAAUCCUUGAGGUUCUAAUCUGUUCCAGAAUUCCCCAGUUCUCCAGCUUUUUUGUCUUCAACUAAAGCCCACAAACUGCAGGGUAGAGGUUUGAAUGGAAAGUGGGUAAUGUUUAUUUAAGGUGGAAGAUAGUAAACUGUUAGAUGCAAUUCUCUCUGAAUUCUAGGAAUGUCAUGCACUGGAGACUGUGUUUUCCCACAGUUAAACUUGUUUAAAUUGCUGAGUUUUGUUCAGAUCUAUCCUUAGCAAACGAAAACACAUUCUUUCAAAAGUUCAUGAAAUUUCAUCUAUGGAUUUGCAUCCCUUGUCCUUUUUUCCACUUGGAGAAAGCUCAGCUCCUGUGCUGUAUUCCCUAGGACUCCUUCCAUGAAGAAUCUUCCCUCCAUGUCAUCAGCAGCAGCCUCCAACGCUUCCACCCUGCUUUCUGCAGUUCAUCUCCUGUGUCUCCUUCUGUUUAGCUGGACGAGAGGCAGCCCCUGCCAUGCCUGGCUGAUAGGUGUGGGACUGGCCAGCUGAUAUGUACAUUCUGGACAGUCACCUGCUUUCUGGCUCUCCAGAUAGACACAGGCAAAAUUCCAUCUGAUUUUUCCCUCAGUUAAUAGAGUCAUUUGGGUUUCUGUCUUCUGACAAUCACCAAUUCUGGGGCUGUUAGAGGAUAUAUUACAUUGGGGAUCUCUGCUCCUCUUUAAGCUUGGUUGAAAUUCGUGAAAGGGCUGUGAGAAGUUGUAAUAGGAACAUCAAGAUGUAUAACUCACCCAUAAAAGCCUUGUAUGUUUAGGAAACAAGGCUGAAGAUGGCUUGUCAGUAAUUGAUUUUGAACUAGCUUGGUGAAAUUUAUUUAUUGUGGAAUGUAUCAGAAUGUUUCUGCCUCUCCCUUUUAGACUGGAGGUUAUUUUUUAAUGCGUUUAGAUUAAUUUCUGGCUAAACUUACUGAUAGCCCUUUUUUAAAAAAUUAUUGGUGAAAUCACUGUGUAUUUUCAGGGAAAAAAAGAGGGUACUGGAGUAGUUUUUGGACAGGUGGAGAUGGGGGGCUCUGUCCUGCCUGGAGGGCGAUGGAAGCUGCUGUGGAGGUGGGCCUGCCCCAGGGGUGUUGUCAUGGCUUGGGGGAACUGCUUGGCCUUCUGCUUGGCCCAUGAGUUUAGCCACAAACGGAGCGUGUGGGACAAUCCCUGUCCUUUGGGCCUCAGGCACAAUGAACUCAGGGUUUAGAACUUUUAAGACUUGUUCCUCUGAAGGAGAAGAAGGAAAGUGAGAUUUUCAAAAGUAGUAGAGCAGUCUGUAUUACAAACCACAGUGUGCUGGCCUAAAGAAAACUACAAGCUACAGAAUAGACAAUUUCAUAACUCGCCUUUAAUCAUGAGAAAGCAUUACCUCAUGACCUGCAGUAUUUCCUGUGGCAAUCAGCAGGGGGUACUGCAGGCUCUUGAGAUGACCUGCUGGAUGGUCUUUGGCAGAAACGCUCUGGUUUCUGUCAGAUGUUGUGUGGAAAAUGAAGGCGGUUGGGGGAUCUCAGGCUAGAAGGCAGCGUGAAGCUGACUUCAAGGUUUUGACUUCAAGCUCCUGGAUGGUUGCUGCCCACCUCCUUUGGCCAGGAAUGGCCACUGAUCUUGAGUUUUGAGUUCUGCUCAAGUAUUUUGGGCCUGGUUUUCUGAAACAGUGAGCACUUACUACAGCUCCGUUGAAUGAAUGACCGCAUUGGAGACCAUACUGAUCAAAGCACAUCUUCCACCUUCAACAAGCUCUUCAGAAAACUCUGUUGGUCAGAACUUGAGGUAACAAGGACAGUCAAAGUUUGCUCGUAAUCAAAAGCCUUUAUUUAUUGUCAUUAUAAUGUACAAUUUGGAUCUGCUGUCUAGUGCUAGAUGAUGGUAAAACCUUUGAUCUCCAUAAAUCCAAUGUAAGGAAAUAUGUAAACACAGUUUAAGAUGCAGGAGCUUUUCAAGUGAAGAUUUUUAUUGCAGAGGUAAAAUGGACACUGUGAAUUUGUUUAAGCCCAGAUUUUGACUUACCUUAAAACUAUAAGAUCGUAAUGUAUAUAUUGUAUUUCAUGAAGAAAAUACAUAUGGAUUUUUUUAAUUCAAUGAAGAUAUUUUAUAUGUAGUUAUUACUCAUGGAACAAUUUGUUAAAUAUAUUUGAAGAGGUUAUUGCCAAAUGUAGUGUGACAAGCAAUGUAGUAUUUAAAAUGAGCACAAUACCAAAUAUAUUAUUCUGAUAAAAAAAUUAAA
This is an RNA transcript of Calidris pugnax (ruff), 5588 nucleotides long. It is a transcript of the gene named transient receptor potential cation channel, subfamily C, member 6, with no coding region annotated. The record is from RefSeq and is a predicted model, not a curated record. Lineage: Eukaryota; Metazoa; Chordata; Aves; Charadriiformes; Scolopacidae. The transcript has 13 exons.